Molecule: long non-coding RNA, 799 nt
Organism: Esox lucius (northern pike)
Lineage: Eukaryota; Metazoa; Chordata; Actinopteri; Esociformes; Esocidae
Source: Ensembl
GCGACAGCGGCGCGGCAUUGGAUAGUGUCAUCAUGAACAAGAGGAAGGGUGGCAGUGACAUUGAUCAGUUUUUUGGGCAGCCUCAGAAAAGAAAACAUGAGAGCAGUGAGAAAAUGUGUACCAGUCAGAUGAUAGAAGUAUGCAGUAGCACAAAAGGCUUUGUUAUGGAAGGUUGAAGAAUAAUUGGUGGUACAACAGGAACGUGUUGUCAUGGAUGGGCUUCUGCAGCAGACCAUUACAAAGACUCAACUCCACCACCUGAAAACGAGAAGCAGCUCGAGUGCAACCAAAAACUGGAAAUUGAGGAUUGGAAAAUGCCGUUUGGUUCAACAACUGCCUGAACAGACCAGAGACCUAUCUAUACCUAUCCCCAAUCAAGUAUAUUUGACUAAAUACCUAAUCCUAGUAAAGGCUGCCACCAAACUCCAUGCCACCAUACAAAAAAGCCCAGAGCUGAGACUGCCAAGACCUCCAGUACUGCCUCAUGCCCUGAACAAAAUAUCUACCAAGGCACAGCGAAGAAGAAAAUGAAGAGGACUGUUAAACUAACCGAAGAUGAAAGUAGUCUGAGUCAAAACUUACUCAGUUAUAGCUAACAUCAUGUGCCUUACACUGAACUUUCUACUUGUUUUACCUCAAACAAUAUAUUUUGAACAGAUUUUUCUAUGCACUUGUACCUUAAUGUGGAUGCCACCAGGGUUAUAGGUUAUAGUCCUGAAUGAAUCAUGAAUGACAAAGAGUAAGAAGGUAUAUGUGAAUAAAAAAAAACAAGGCUAAAGACUCACCAUCAGCAAUAAAA